UACGUAGGUGGCAAGCGUUGUCCGGAAUUAUUGGGCGUAAAGCGCGCGCAGGCGGUCCUUUAAGUCUGAUGUGAAAGCCCACGGCUCAACCGUGGAGGGUCAUUGGAAACUGGGGGACUUGAGUACAGAAGAGAAGAGUGGAAUUCCACGUGUAGCGGUGAAAUGCGUAGAGAUGUGGAGGAACACCAGUGGCGAAGGCGACUCUUUGGUCUGUAACUGACGCUGAGGCGCGAAAGCGUGGGGAGCAAACCGG
RNAcentral lists this ribosomal RNA (253 nucleotides) under uncultured bacterium. RNAcentral describes it as "partial 16S ribosomal RNA". It matches the Rfam family "Bacterial small subunit ribosomal RNA", at positions 524 to 776 of the family's 1533-position model. The record is from RNAcentral.